RNAcentral lists this ribosomal RNA (254 nucleotides) under uncultured bacterium. Its description in RNAcentral is "partial 16S ribosomal RNA". It matches the Rfam family "Bacterial small subunit ribosomal RNA", at positions 524 to 776 of the family's 1533-position model. The record is from RNAcentral.
UACGUAGGGUGCGAGCGUUGUCCGGAAUUAUUGGGCGUAAAGAGCUCGUAGGCGGUCUGUCGCGUCGGUCGUGAAAACUUGGGGCUUAACCCUGAGCUUGCGGUCGAUACGGGCAUGACUGGAGUUCGGCAGGGGAGACUGGAAUUCCUGGUGUAGCGGUGAAAUGCGCAGAUGUCAGGAGGAACACCGGUGGCGAAGGCGGGUCUCUGGGCAACAACUGACGCUGAGGAGCGAAAGCGUGGGGAGCGAACAGG